UUGACGGGGCCCGCACAAGCAGCGGAGCGUGUGGUUUAAUUCGAUGAUACGCGAAGAACCUCACCCAGGUUUGACAUGCACGUGGUACUGAUCCGAAAGGUGAUGGACCCUUCGGGGAGCAUGCACAGGUGUUGCACGGCCGUCGUCAGCUCGUGCCGUGAGGUGUUGGGUUAAGUCCCGCAACGAGCGCAACCCCUGUCGCCAGUUGUAUUUUCUGGCGAGACUGCCGAGAAAACCUCGGAGGAAGGAGGGGACGAUGUCAGGUCAGCGUGGCCCUUACGCCUGGGGCUACACACACGCUACAAUGGGCAGUACAACGGGUCGCGAAGCCGCGAGGUGGAGCUAAUCCCAUCAAAGCUGUCCUCAGUUCGGAUUGCAGGCUGAAACCCGCCUGCAUGAAGCCGGAGUUGCUAGUAACCGCAGGUCAGCAUUACUGCGGUGAAUACGUUCCCGGGCCUU
RNAcentral lists this ribosomal RNA (459 nucleotides) under uncultured Chloroflexota bacterium. Its description in RNAcentral is "bacterial SSU rRNA". It matches the Rfam family "Bacterial small subunit ribosomal RNA", at positions 910 to 1382 of the family's 1533-position model. The record is from RNAcentral. Lineage: Bacteria; Bacillati; Chloroflexota.